This is a long non-coding RNA of Homo sapiens (human), 552 nucleotides long. NCBI's taxonomy places the organism in Eukaryota, Metazoa, Chordata, Mammalia, Primates, Hominidae. The record is from Ensembl.
AGAGAGGCCUGGCAUGCUUCCAUUCUGUCUCUUAGGGUCCUGCCACCACCACAUAUGUUAGCCUGCUGGAGGACGACAGCCAGCCAACCUCCAGACAUAUUGUCUAACCAGACUGGAUUCUGUCAAAGCAGAUGUGUCUAAGAUGCUAGAAAUGAAUGCAUACCAAAGGACACAAUUGAAUAAUGCUGGACAGAGAAUUCUGCAAGACAGUCUGCCUAGCCAGAGUAGCAAGGGAAGGCACCGAGUCAGCUACUGAGAAUGAAUUUUGAAACAGAGACUUGUCAAAGGCAUAGAAAAAUUGCAAAAGUGGCAACAACAUUUAUGGUAAUUACAUAGGAUCCACAGAGCACUUUCACAUCAGCUAUCUCAUUUAACCCUCAAGAUGCCUCAGAGAUGACAGGAAGCAUGGACAUGCAUUGAGUCACUUGACUUGGCCAAGAUGUAUUGGCAAGUUGAAGUAUAUUGGGAGCUGGGAAUGACCAUUUUCCUCCAUUCAUAUGGACAUCUUAUAAUCAUUUCUUAAUAUACCUUUACUGUAGAGCCUUCACUGCA